RNAcentral lists this ribosomal RNA (253 nucleotides) under uncultured bacterium. RNAcentral describes it as "partial 16S ribosomal RNA". It matches the Rfam family "Bacterial small subunit ribosomal RNA", at positions 524 to 776 of the family's 1533-position model. The record is from RNAcentral.
UACAGAGGUCUCGAGCGUUGUUCGGAUUCAUUGGGCGUAAAGGGCGCGUAGGCGGCGGGGUAAGUCUGGUGUGAAAUCUCGGAGCUCAACUCCGAAAUUGCACUGGAUACUGCUCUGCUAGAGGGCUGGAGAGGAGAUCGGAAUUCACGGUGUAGCAGUGAAAUGCGUAGAUAUCGUGAGGAACACCGGUGGCGAAGGCGGCCUUCUGGACGGAUACUGACGCUGAGACGCGAAAGCGUGGGGAGCAAACAGG